AUAACUGGGAAAAGAAACCAACCUAUGUGACAAACAAGCAUAACUUCAGAAAUUCACUGCAGUCUACAAGUCCAAAAUCCCAAAGGGACUCAAAGUGGGCCUGAAGACAGCAGAGGACCAGUGAAUUAAGAUAGGAAGCAUUUUUGUGUUUAAAGAGCAAAAAAUUAAUAGAAACUAGAAACAUUUGUCUGGGAAAAAAAGCAAUGCCUGGAACACUUCCAUGUAAUUAAAUUCAAGACCUGAUUUUGAUGGAAGAUAUCACAAGAGAAGGUGCAAUGUUGAAUACCAAAAGAUACUCAGCUAUACUACUUAAUUGGAGAUGACUUGGAGUAGAAUAUUCCUGAAAAUUUGAAAAGAAAUAAAGAAGCAGAUGGAGAUUUUUCUCUGCAGAGGUCAGGAGUUCAAAGUAAAAACCUUCUU
This is a long non-coding RNA of Manacus vitellinus (golden-collared manakin), 420 nucleotides long. RefSeq lists it as uncharacterized. The transcript is spliced from 3 exons. The record is from RefSeq and is a predicted model, not a curated record. Lineage: Eukaryota; Metazoa; Chordata; Aves; Passeriformes; Pipridae.